CAAGUCUGAUGGAGCAACGCCGCGUGAGUGAAGAAGGUUUUCGGAUCGUAAAGCUCUGUUGUUGGUGAAGAAGGAUAGAGGUAGUAACUGGCCUUUAUUUGACGGUAAUCAACCAGAAAGUCACGGCUAACUACGUGCCAGCAGCCGCGGUAAUACGUAGGUGGCAAGCGUUGUCCGGAUUUAUUGGGCGUAAAGCGAGCGCAGGCGGAAAAAUAAGUCUAAUGUGAAAGCCCUCGGCUUAACCGAGGAAUUGCAUCGGAAACUGUUUUUCUUGAGUGCAGAAGAGGAGAGUGGAACUCCAUGUGUAGCGGUGGAAUGCGUAGAUAUAUGGAAGAACACCAGUGGCGAAGGCGGCUCUCUGGUCUGCAACUGACGCUGAGGCUCGAAAGCAUGGGUAGCGAACAGGAUUAGAUACCCUGGUAGUCCAUGCCGUAAACGAUGAGUGCUAAGUGUUGGGAGGUUUCCGCCUCUCAGUGCUGCAGCUAACGCAUUAAGCACUCCGCCUGGGGAGUACGACCGCAAGGUUGAAACUCAAAGGAAUUGACGGGGGCCCCACAAGCGGUGGAGCAUGUGGUUUAAUU
RNAcentral lists this ribosomal RNA (581 nucleotides) under Lactobacillus sp. oral taxon 461. Its description in RNAcentral is "bacterial SSU rRNA". It matches the Rfam family "Bacterial small subunit ribosomal RNA", at positions 378 to 951 of the family's 1533-position model. Lineage: Bacteria; Bacillati; Bacillota; Bacilli; Lactobacillales; Lactobacillaceae. The record is from RNAcentral.